CCGUGCUAGACGGGGAGGUAGCGGUGCCCUGUACCCGCAAUCCGCUGUAGCGGGGUUGAACUCCUGCCCGAGGGUUUUGCUUGUGGGGUCUGGUCCGGGCAAGCGGCGAGGAAGGUUGGGUCCUGCGCAAUAGAGGGCCAUGAACCCCGUCAGGUCCGGGAGGAAGCAGCGGUAAGUGGUUGACUCUAUGUGCCGCAGGGUUACCUGGCCUGAGCUGGCUGCGCGGGUUCCGCCUGGGAGCGUAAAUUCGAAGGCAGGUGCACGG
Molecule: signal recognition particle RNA, 265 nt
Filed under: Clostridia bacterium
Lineage: Bacteria; Bacillati; Bacillota; Clostridia
Description: signal recognition particle sRNA large type
Rfam family: Bacterial large signal recognition particle RNA
About the family: The signal recognition particle (SRP) is a universally conserved ribonucleoprotein involved in the co-translational targeting of proteins to membranes. Archaeal SRP consists of a 7S RNA and homologues of the eukaryotic SRP19 and SRP54 proteins. In most bacteria, the SRP consists of a 4.5S RNA and the Ffh protein (a homologue of the eukaryotic SRP54 protein).
Source: RNAcentral